RNAcentral lists this ribosomal RNA (571 nucleotides) under uncultured bacterium. RNAcentral's name for it is "partial 16S ribosomal RNA". It matches the Rfam family "Bacterial small subunit ribosomal RNA", at positions 355 to 919 of the family's 1533-position model. The record is from RNAcentral.
UGGGGAAUUUUGGACAAUGGGCGAAAGCCUGAUCCAGCAAUGCCGCGUGUGUGAAGAGGGCCUUCGGGUUGUAAAGCACUUUUGUCCGGAAAGAAAUCCUUGGCUCUAAUACAGUCGGGGGAUGACGGUACCGGAAGAAUAAGCACCGGCUAACUACGUGCCAGCAGCCGCGGUAAUACGUAGGGUGCAAGCGUUAAUCGGAAUUACUGGGCGUAAAGCGUGCGCAGGCGGUUUGCUAAGACCGAUGUGAAAUCCCCGGGCUCAACCUGGGAACUGCAUUGGUGACUGGCAGGCUAGAGUAUGGCAGAGGGGGGUAGAAUUCCACGUGUAGCAGUGAAAUGCGUAGAGAUGUGGAGGAAUACCGAUGGCGAAGGCAGCCCCCUGGGCCAAUACUGACGCUCAUGCACGAAAGCGUGGGGAGCAAACAGGAUUAGAUACCCUGGUAGUCCACGCCCUAAACGAUGUCAACUAGUUGUUGGGGAUUCAUUUCCUUAGUAACGUAGCUAACGCGUGAAGUUGACCGCCUGGGGAGUACGGUCGCAAGAUUAAAACUCAAAUGAAUUGACGGGGU